This 465-nucleotide ribosomal RNA is filed under the name Vreelandella stevensii. RNAcentral describes it as "partial 16S ribosomal RNA". It matches the Rfam family "Bacterial small subunit ribosomal RNA", at positions 338 to 795 of the family's 1533-position model. Lineage: Bacteria; Pseudomonadati; Pseudomonadota; Gammaproteobacteria; Oceanospirillales; Halomonadaceae. The record is from RNAcentral.
CCUACGGGGGGCAGCAGUGGGGAAUAUUGGACAAUGGGGGCAACCCUGAUCCAGCCAUGCCGCGUGUGUGAAGAAGGCCCUCGGGUUGUAAAGCACUUUCAGUGAGGAAGAACGCCUGGUGGUUAAUACCCAUCAGGAAAGACAUCACUCACAGAAGAAGCACCGGCUAACUCCGUGCCAGCAGCCGCGGUAAUACGGAGGGUGCGAGCGUUAAUCGGAAUUACUGGGCGUAAAGCGCGCGUAGGUGGCUUGAUAAGCCGGUUGUGAAAGCCCCGGGCUCAACCGGGGAACGGCAUCCGGAACUGUCAAGCUAGAGUGCAGGAGAGGAAGGUAGAAUUCCCGGUGUAGCGGUGGAAUGCGUAGAGAUCGGGAGGAAUACCAGUGGCGAAGGCGGCCCUCUGGACUGCCACUGACGCUGAGGUGCGAAAGCGUGGGUAGCGAACAGGAUUAGAUACCCCGGUAGUC